UCUGAUACCAUGUAAAAAGAUAAUAUUUUGUUGUAUUUCACAAUAGAGAUUACAAUCUAUUUAUAUAUGAAAGACGAUAUCUAAAUAGGAAGGAAAAUCUUGCCUAUGAUUAUAUAAUCUCUAAAAUUAAGUAACUAACCCAUCUAUCAAUAUUUAUUUCCUAUAUUAACAUAUUUACUCCCCGUAACAGUAACAUUUAUUUUAUCUUUUUUAUUGAUGAUUAUACCAUGUUGUAUUGGGUAUAUUUUAUUAAACUCAAGAGUGAAGUGUAAUCUCACAAUUAAAACCUUGAGAUCUGACAAUAGUGUUGAAUAUACCUCUAGUCAAUUUGUUGAUUUUGUAAUGCUAGUGGUAUAGAAAAUCAAUUUUUUAUUCCAUACACACCAC
RNAcentral lists this long non-coding RNA (387 nucleotides) under Manihot esculenta (cassava). Its description in RNAcentral is "long non-coding RNA (MESC_LNC001169)". The record is from RNAcentral. Lineage: Eukaryota; Viridiplantae; Streptophyta; Magnoliopsida; Malpighiales; Euphorbiaceae.